Molecule: long non-coding RNA, 1498 nt
Organism: Centruroides sculpturatus (bark scorpion)
Lineage: Eukaryota; Metazoa; Arthropoda; Arachnida; Scorpiones; Buthidae
Exons: 5
Source: RefSeq, a predicted model, not a curated record
AACGAAGUAAAAAUCGGGGAGUUAUAGAAGAAGUAUCGAAAAUACAUUUAUUUAACAAAAGGACCGUCGAUACUUCGUCAAAAACUAUACACAUAUACAAAAAUCUUUACAUUAACAAAAGGUCACUUUGAUAUUAGUAUUAAUAUCUAUUGAUAAUCAAAUAAUAUCUAUGAUCUAUCAUACAAAUUGUCUCCUUUAAAAUAUGCAGGGAUAUCUUUAUUCUAUUAACAGGAUUGUAUUUCGGGCUACACCCCUCAGUCUACUGAAGGGCAUAGUUCGAAAUAUUUCCCUGUUCAUAGAAUAGAAAUGUCCUUUUUUUAAAGAAAUGCAGCGUUUCCUGGUAGGAUAGUUCCUAGAAAAUACAAUUUCAUUAUCGCAGAACCAUCAAAACCCAAGAUAAGCAAAUAUAAAAACUGUAAUAUCUAUUUUUAAAAUAUCAGUCAUGCAUUUAUUUAUACACCAUUGUCGGAAAUACUACAUCUAACGUACAAAACAGAGAUGUUUGAACGUAAUAAAUAGAUAUCUUUAUUAUUUUAUGAUUUCUUCGAGUGAGAUACGAAUCCAAAAGGAAGAAAACAGGGAAAUUAUUAUAUCAGAAUCUCAGUUAAAUAAAGUCCUGAACAGGCAAUUUUAACUUCUCAUUACAUAUUGUGAAAAUUCGAAAGUACUGUUUAUGCCUUAUCCAAUCGAAAGCAUCAGACAAUUCGUUACUUAUGUAAAGACGGACGAUAAGUUGCGGUAAAUGACAUUCGAAGGAUUCGUCCGAUGUCGGACUUUAUCGUUUUUAUCGUCCAACAACCGGACGAAUCAUUUCGAAUGUACAGUACAUGGAAAAUUCAAAAAGACAGUAAUGAAUGGUUUGGGGUAUGAGCCUCAUCGUAACCUUCACUCGUCAUUAUAUGUAAUUUUGUUUCUUUAUCUUUCGGUGUUGUUAGAGACGUUGUUGGAAUUUUUAAUGAAAUCGUACUUCAAAGAUUGCACAAAUUUAAACUGUGACCAUCUACAUAGCAUAACUAGAGGAUAAUUACAGAACGAUUCCGUAGCCGUAGUUCUGUUUUUUACCACGAGAUGUCGCUACUUCGUGGGUCAAAUAGCUCGACAAGCGUAAUUCUAAUUUACUAUAUGUUGUGACGCCACUGAACCACGUGUCAGAACGCAAUCCCUCAGACUGUGAGCAAUUUUAAGAUGAAAUUUAAUAAAUGAAUUAUUUAUAGAUGAGAUUUUUAUGAGAAACGAAUCCAGAGUUAUGAAAGAUGACUUCUCAGCUCUGCCAGGUGAGAUAAGUGUGCUCCAAGGGAGAUUACCGGGCAUAUUUUAUCUCUUAUUUUUGGCUGAUUCUAUUCUACUAAGUUAACAAAAGUGUCAGUACAAAUCAUGUGUCCUAUAGAACUUUCAAUCAAUAAUAAUUGUAUCGAAUAAAAAUUGAUUCAAAUAUUUUAAAUUUUCUGCUCAUUUAGAGUUUACUAUUAGACUUAAUUUGCUGAAUUUGGUUAAUAAA